CCUGUCCGUGUGUGUGGCUCAGCCUGGGCUCCGCGGCCUCCCCUUGCACCGGACGUGGACCCAGGCUGCCGUUGGGCAAGAUAGAGGACUGAGCCAAGGCACAAACGGCUGGCCAGGGAAACUGCUCCCUGGGCGCCUGGAGGUCCAUAUUGAGAGCGUCCUGCCAGCCAUGAGAGAUCACCUUCCCCUGAUGCAGAGGCAGACCUCUCCCCCUUGAGGCCCAGUGGACACCUGGCUCAGGUCCCAACUGUGUGCCCUGGACACACAGAGCCCCAGAUCUCUGGCACAGACUGGGGUGUGGUUGUGUCGGGGCAGAAAAGGCCCAGGCUGCUUAUGUACGUUUGGAGGGCCAGGUUCAAAGACUCUGCAUCCAUCCAGGACAAUAGCAUCAAGAGAAGAACAGACAGAGCAGAAGGAGAUCUGGGGUUUCCCCCAGGAAUGAGGUGGAACAGGGAUUUCUGCAGAUUUGCAAGGCGUCCCCUACCACUGAGCAUGGGGUUACAACCCCACGUGACUACCGUCGUGUUUGGCUUGGGCUCUGGAUCUGGCCUGCUCAUUUAUUCUUCCAGCUGAGUUCCAGAAACUCAGAGGGUGGACUUUGAGGGGCUGCGUUUGGAACCUAGUGAGGAGCUGGAUGGUCCUUUAUAUUGAGUCCCUUCAGCCUAAUCACCGUAGCUGAAUCCCAACACCCCCCAGGCACCCAGGGUGGCUGUGGAGGGAGAGAAAGCCUGGCAGGCGACCUAGGGGUCCCACUGCUCUGUCCCUCCCUUGUCUUCAUUCCCUUUCACCCCAGAAGGUGUGAUUGUCUCGUGUCAUGGUGGCCGCCGUAGUGUCCCUCCCAGCAAUCUCUCUUCUCCAUCAGGUGGGGUUCCCAACCCCACUCAGCCUUCUCUCUGCAUGGAUGCUGAAGGACCAGGACCACCUGAAUUUCUGAGCUUGAGCAGUAAGGUGGAAAAAAAGAAACCAAUGGAAACAAAGAAACAAGUUAUUGUGGCAAAACUGCCCACCACAGAGAAGCUGCCCUGAGUGGAAGGGAGGGUGUGGGCAUGCCCAUUUGUUUCCUGUCUCCCAGUGCUCUUAGCUUUCUUAUUGCAGACCUGCAUGGUUACAACAAAAUGAUCUGCAAAACUGAAAAUAUUUACUCUCUCGCUUUUACAGA
Camelus dromedarius (Arabian camel) is the source of this 1159-nucleotide long non-coding RNA. RefSeq lists it as uncharacterized. NCBI's taxonomy places the organism in Eukaryota, Metazoa, Chordata, Mammalia, Artiodactyla, Camelidae. The transcript is spliced from 3 exons. The record is from RefSeq and is a predicted model, not a curated record.